CGUAGAGAAAUCGAGUCUUAAUAGGGCGUUUAGUUGCUGGGUAUAGACCCGAAACCAGGCGAUCUAUCCAUGAGCAGGUUGAAGGUUGGGUAACACUAACUGGAGGACCGAACCCACUGUCGUUGAAAAGCCAGGGGAUGACUUGUGGAUAGGGGUGAAAGGCUAAUCAAGCCUGGUGAUAGCUGGUUCUCCCCGAAAGCUAUUUAGGUAGCGCCUCGGACGAAUACCAUAGGGGGUAGAGCACUGUUUCGGCUAGGGGGUCAUCCCGACUUACCAAACCGAUGCAAACUCCGAAUACCUAUGAGUACUAUCCGGGAGACAGACUGCGGGUGCUAACGUCCGUAGUCAAGAGGAAAACAAUCCAGACCGCCAGCUAAGGCCCCAAAAUCAUAGUUAAGUGGGAAACGAUGUGGGAAGGCAUAGACAGCUAGGAGGUUGGCUUAGAAGCAGCCACCCUUUAAAGAAAGCGUAAUAGCUCACUAGUCGAGUCGGCCUGCGCGGAAGAUGUAACGGGGCUAAAACUAUGUGCCGAAGCUGCGGAUGUAUACUUUGUAUACGUGGUAGGGGAGCGUUCUGUAAGCCGAUGAAGGUGUGUUGAGAA
This 601-nucleotide ribosomal RNA is filed under the name Acinetobacter baumannii. RNAcentral describes it as "partial 23S ribosomal RNA". It matches the Rfam family "Bacterial large subunit ribosomal RNA", at positions 667 to 1267 of the family's 2925-position model. Lineage: Bacteria; Pseudomonadati; Pseudomonadota; Gammaproteobacteria; Moraxellales; Moraxellaceae. The record is from RNAcentral.